CCUACGGGAGGCAGCAGUGGGGAAUAUUGGACAAUGGGCGAAAGCCUGAUCCAGCCAUGCCGCGUGUGUGAAGAAGGCCUUCGGGUUGUAAAGCACUUUCAGUGGGGAAGAAAGCCUUGGGGCUAAUACCCUCGAGGAAGGACAUCACCCACAGAAGAAGCACCGGCUAACUCCGUGCCAGCAGCCGCGGUAAUACGGAGGGUGCGAGCGUUAAUCGGAAUUACUGGGCGUAAAGCGCGCGUAGGCGGUCUGAUAAGCCGGUUGUGAAAGCCCCGGGCUCAACCUGGGAACGGCAUCCGGAACUGUCAGGCUAGAGUGCAGGAGAGGAAGGUAGAAUUCCCGGUGUAGCGGUGAAAUGCGUAGAGAGCGGGAGGAAUACCAGUGGCGAAGGCGGCCUUCUGGACUGACACUGACGCUGAGGUGCGAAAGCGUGGGUAGCAAACAGGAUUAGAUACCCGAGUAGUC
This 465-nucleotide ribosomal RNA is filed under the name Vreelandella stevensii. RNAcentral's name for it is "partial 16S ribosomal RNA". It matches the Rfam family "Bacterial small subunit ribosomal RNA", at positions 338 to 795 of the family's 1533-position model. Lineage: Bacteria; Pseudomonadati; Pseudomonadota; Gammaproteobacteria; Oceanospirillales; Halomonadaceae. The record is from RNAcentral.